CGCCUCUAAGUCAGAAUCCGGGCUA
Molecule: non-coding RNA, 25 nt
Filed under: Arabidopsis thaliana (thale cress)
Lineage: Eukaryota; Viridiplantae; Streptophyta; Magnoliopsida; Brassicales; Brassicaceae
Also listed under: 1 other name
Source: RNAcentral